CACAGUGUAGCGUAGAGGUUAAGGCGCAGGACUUAUAACCAAAAGAUUGAUGGUUCAAUUCCCCGCUGGGA
This is a non-coding RNA of Megalops atlanticus (tarpon), 71 nucleotides long. The record is from the annotation of a GenBank genome assembly. NCBI's taxonomy places the organism in Eukaryota, Metazoa, Chordata, Actinopteri, Elopiformes, Megalopidae.